CCUACGGGAGGCAGCAGUAGGGAAUCUUGGACAAUGGGGGCAACCCUGAUCCAGCCAUGCCGCGUGAGUGAAGAAGGCCCUAGGGUCGUAAAGCUCUUUCGCCUGUGAUGAUAAUGACAGUAGCAGGUAAAGAAACCCCGGCUAACUCCGUGCCAGCAGCCGCGGUAAUACGGAGGGGGUUAGCGUUGUUCGGAAUUACUGGGCGUAAAGCGCGCGUAGGCGGAUUGGAAAGUUGGGGGUGAAAUCCCGGGGCUCAACCCCGGAACUGCCUUCAAAACUCCCAGUCUAGAGUUCGAGAGAGGUGAGUGGAAUUCCGAGUGUAGAGGUGAAAUUCGUAGAUAUUCGGAAGAACACCAGUGGCGAAGGCGGCUCACUGGCUCGAUACUGACGCUGAGGUGCGAAAGUGUGGGGAGCAAACAGGAUUAGAUACCCUGGUAGUCCACACCGUAAACGAUGAAUGCCAGUCGUCGGAUAGUAUACUAUUCGGUGACACACCUAACGGAUUAAGCAUUCCGUCUGGGGAGUACGGUCGCAAGAUUAAAACUCAAAGGAAUGACGG
RNAcentral lists this ribosomal RNA (559 nucleotides) under uncultured bacterium. Its description in RNAcentral is "bacterial SSU rRNA". It matches the Rfam family "Bacterial small subunit ribosomal RNA", at positions 338 to 916 of the family's 1533-position model. The record is from RNAcentral.